GACACUGCUGCAGUGGGGAUGAAGUUUCCAGCACGUACCUUUGGAGGAAUUAUUCAACCAUGACCUUUGCUUCUCAUUCAUGGAGGAAGAGUAGUGAAGAAUCCAAGUGGCAGACUUGGGAGCUCUAGCCCAUCUUUUUCCCGUCCUCUUAUUUUUGGGAGUCGGCCUGCCUGCUUAGCACUAAAUCACAUCACUAUGGGCACCACUGAGGGUGGUAUUUGAGUCACCAAUGCAACACUCCUGUAUCCAUCUGCAUUUGUCGAUGAGGCAUUCAUGAUGACUUGUGGCCCAGGGAAGCCAAAAGAUUGGACGCUCUUGGAUUAGAGCAAGGAACACCCAUAUGCCUGCCAUCUACAUUCAGCAACUGCAAGUAUUUUGCUAUUAAACAAAAUUAAACAAGCAAAUGACACUGAAGAAGUAAGCUUACUCAUCCGUGGUGGAUCCCCUGUGGGCAGAGUGCCAUGGAAACCUCUUACAGCCAAGUGUAUGAGGAAUAAAUCCUGGUCACGAGGAUUAGACCCUUGAUCUCACCUGCGGAGAAGUGGGUGCUUCCCCACCCAUGGUGCUGAGCUGUCAGAAUGGGGCUGGAGUCAAGGUUCUGUUGAGUUCUGAGUAAGUCCCCAAGGAAGAGAACACCAGCUCCCAGAGCACCAGUGUGGUCCCAAACUGGUUCUGUACUCUGAAACUCAUUCCGCCUCUUCAGCCCACAUCUUCAUCUAAGAGAAGCUGAGAGUGGCAAAACCAAAUAAAAUGCAAAGAGAGGAUUUCUUCUAAGAG
This is a long non-coding RNA of Pongo pygmaeus (Bornean orangutan), 777 nucleotides long. RefSeq lists it as uncharacterized. Lineage: Eukaryota; Metazoa; Chordata; Mammalia; Primates; Hominidae. The transcript has 5 exons. The record is from RefSeq and is a predicted model, not a curated record.